CAGGUUUUGAGAGUAUUUUAGAAGGGCUUUAUGGACCACGGCUACGAAGAGACCUCAGUUUAUUUGAAGACUGUGAACCAGAAGAACUGACUGACUGGUCUAUGGAUGAAAAAUGUUCAUUUUGUAACCUACAAAGAGAAGCAGUCAGUGAUUGUAUACCAUCUCUUGAUUCUUCACAGUCAACACCAACAGAGGAACUAUCAUCUCAGGCCAGUCCAACACUGAAAAGAUUGAAUGCCAAGCAGAAAAUUACCUAAAUGCACUCUUUCGAAAGA
Myotis lucifugus (little brown bat) is the source of this 275-nucleotide long non-coding RNA. RefSeq lists it as uncharacterized. The record is from RefSeq and is a predicted model, not a curated record. The transcript has 3 exons. NCBI's taxonomy places the organism in Eukaryota, Metazoa, Chordata, Mammalia, Chiroptera, Vespertilionidae.